This 349-nucleotide ribosomal RNA is filed under the name uncultured bacterium. RNAcentral describes it as "bacterial SSU rRNA". It matches the Rfam family "Bacterial small subunit ribosomal RNA", at positions 917 to 1269 of the family's 1533-position model. The record is from RNAcentral.
GGGCCCGCACAAGCGGUGGAGCAUGUGGUUUAAUUCGAUGAUACGCGAGGAACCUUACCAGGGCUUAAAUGCAGAACGACAGAGGUGGAAACACCUCCUUCUUCGGACGGUCUGCAAGGUGCUGCAUGGUUGUCGUCAGCUCGUGCUGUGAAGUGUCGGGUUAAGUCCCAUAACGAGCGCAACCCCUAUUUCUAGUUGCCAGCGGUUCGGCCGGGGACUCUAGAGAAACUGCCAGCGUAAGCUGUGAGGAAGGUGGGGAUGACGUCAAAUCAUCACGGCCCUUACGUCCUGGGCCACACACGUGCUACAAUGGUGAGGACAGAGGGUUGCGAAGCCGCGAGGUGGAGCC